This 68-nucleotide transfer RNA is filed under the name Marmota monax (woodchuck). RNAcentral describes it as "tRNA.Ala". The stretch from base 5 to 65 matches the Rfam family "tRNA", at positions 6 to 65 of the family's 71-position model. From Rfam's summary of the family: Transfer RNA (tRNA) molecules are approximately 80 nucleotides in length. Lineage: Eukaryota; Metazoa; Chordata; Mammalia; Rodentia; Sciuridae. The record is from RNAcentral.
GGAUUGUGGCUCAGUGGUAGAGCACUUGCCUAGCAUGUGUGAGGCACUGGGUUCAAUUCUCAGCACCG